Molecule: ribosomal RNA, 359 nt
Filed under: Macrobiotus hufelandi group sp.
Lineage: Eukaryota; Metazoa; Tardigrada; Eutardigrada; Parachela; Macrobiotidae
Description: SSU rRNA
Rfam family: Eukaryotic small subunit ribosomal RNA
Source: RNAcentral
UACUUGCUUUUACAAGGCGAAACCGCGAAUGGCUCAUUAAAUCAGUUAUGGUUCAUUAGAUCGUAAAUUUUACACGGAUAACUGUGGUAAUUCUAGAGCUAAUACGUGCAAUUAGCUCGCUUCCUUGUGGAGCGAGCGCAGUUAUUAGAUCAAAACCAAUCCGGCCUUCGGGUCGGUACAAUUGGUGACUCUGAAUAACCGAAGCGGAGCGCAUGGUCUCGUACCGGCGCCAGAUCUUUCAAGUGUCUGACUUAUCAGCUUGUUGUUAGGUUACGUUCCUAACAAGGCUUCAACGGGUAACGGGGUAUCAGGGUCCGAUACCGGAGAGGGAGCCUGAGAAACGGCUACCACAUCCAAGA